RNAcentral lists this ribosomal RNA (301 nucleotides) under uncultured bacterium. RNAcentral describes it as "partial 16S ribosomal RNA". It matches the Rfam family "Bacterial small subunit ribosomal RNA", at positions 509 to 807 of the family's 1533-position model. The record is from RNAcentral.
CAGCAGCCGCGGUAAUACGUAGGUGGCAAGCGUUGUCCGGAAUUAUUGGGCGUAAAGGGCUCGCAGGCGGUUUCUUAAGUCUGAUGUGAAAGCCCCCGGCUCAACCGGGGAGGGUCAUUGGAAACUGGGAAACUUGAGUGCAGAAGAGGAGAGUGGAAUUCCACGUGUAGCGGUGAAAUGCGUAGAGAUGUGGAGGAACACCAGUGGCGAAGGCGACUCUCUGGUCUGUAACUGACGCUGAAGAGCGAAAGCGUGGGGAGCGAACAGGAUUAGAUACCCCCGUAGUCCCUGUCUCUUAUAC